CAAGUCGUACGGACAAUUUAUUUCGGUAAAUUCUUAGUGGCGAACGGGUGAGUAACACGUGGGCAACCUGCCUCGUGGUUGGGGACAACAUUCCGAAAGGAGUGCUAAUACCGAAUACGCUCCAUUACCGGCAUCGGUUUUGGAGGAAAGAUGGCCUCUAUUUAUAAGCUAUCACCAUGAGAUGGGCCUGCGUCUGAUUAGCUAGUUGGUGAAGUAACGGCCCACCAAGGCGAUGAUCAGUAGCCGGUCUGAGAGGAUGAACGGCCACAUUGGGACUGAGACACGGCCCAAACUCCUACGGGAGGCAGCAGUGGGGAAUCUUCCGCAAUGGGCGAAAGCCUGACGGAGCAACGCCGCGUGAGUGAUGAAGGCCUUCGGGCUGUAAAACUCUGUUGUCAGGGACGAAGGUGCACCUUUCGAACAGAUGGGUGUAUUGACGGUACCUGACGAGGAAGCCACGGCUAACUACGUG
This 472-nucleotide ribosomal RNA is filed under the name uncultured bacterium. RNAcentral's name for it is "bacterial SSU rRNA". It matches the Rfam family "Bacterial small subunit ribosomal RNA", at positions 58 to 507 of the family's 1533-position model. The record is from RNAcentral.